UUGACGGGGGCCCGCACAAGCGGCGGAGCAUGCGGAUUAAUUCGAUGCAACGCGAAGAACCUUACCAAGGCUUGACAUACACCGGUAACGCCCAGAGAUGGGUGCCCCUUUGUGGUCGGUGGACAGGUGGUGCAUGGUUGUCGUCAGCUCGUGUCGUGAGAUGUUGGGUUAAGUCCCGCAACGAGCGCAACCCUCGUCCUAUGUUGCCAGCGGGUCAUGCCGGGGACUCAUGGGAGACUGCCGGGGUCAACUCGGAGGAAGGUGGGAUGACGUCAAAUCAUCAUGCCCCUUAUGUCUUGGGCUUCACGCAUGCUACAAUGGCCGGUACAAAGGGCUGCGAUACCGCGAGGUGGAGCGAAUCCCAGAAAGCCGGUCUCAGUUCGGAUUGGGGUCUGCAACUCGACCCCAUGAAGUCGGAGUCGCUAGUAAUCGCAGAUCAGCAACGCUGCGGUGAAUACGUUCCCGGGCCUU
This 471-nucleotide ribosomal RNA is filed under the name uncultured Curtobacterium sp. Its description in RNAcentral is "bacterial SSU rRNA". It matches the Rfam family "Bacterial small subunit ribosomal RNA", at positions 910 to 1382 of the family's 1533-position model. The record is from RNAcentral. Lineage: Bacteria; Bacillati; Actinomycetota; Actinomycetes; Micrococcales; Microbacteriaceae.